AUUGAACGCUGGCGGCAUGCCUUACACAUGCAAGUCGAACGGCAGCAUGGAGAGCUUGCUCUCUGAUGGCGAGUGGCGAACGGGUGAGUAAAGCAUCGGAACGUACCGUGUAGUGGGGGAUAACGUAGCGAAAGUUACGCUAAUACCGCAUACGCACUGAGGUGGAAAGCAGGGGAUCGCAAGACCUUGCGCUAUACGAGCGGCCGAUGUCAGAUUAGCUAGUUGGUAGGGUAAAGGCCUACCAAGGCGACGAUCUGUAGCGGGUCUGAGAGGAUGAUCCGCCACACGGGGACUGAGACACGGCCCAGACUCCGACGGGAGGAAGCAGUGGGGAAUUUUGGACAAUGGGGGCAACCCUGAUCCAGCCAUGCCGCGUGAGUGAAGAAGGCCUUCGGGUUGUAAAGCUCUUUCGGCCGGGAAGAAAUCGCACAGGCUAAUACUCUGUGUGGAUGACGGUACCGGCAUAAGAAGCACCGGCUAACUACGUGCCAGCCGCCGCCGUAA
RNAcentral lists this ribosomal RNA (504 nucleotides) under uncultured bacterium. RNAcentral's name for it is "partial 16S ribosomal RNA". It matches the Rfam family "Bacterial small subunit ribosomal RNA", at positions 29 to 523 of the family's 1533-position model. The record is from RNAcentral.